UGCAAUUGAGAGACAAUGACGUCCAUAGUGGACGUUACCCAAGGCACCUUGUCUGGGCUUUUGUACUAGGAGAUGACAUUGGCUGAGUCCCCCUCAAUAAUGAUUCUAUCAUCUCGAGGUUGCAGUUUAAUAAUCCCUUCUAUCAGAGCCCUCAACUCUAUCUCGUUAAUAUCGCAGAUAUGGGACCUUCCUUGAUAUUGCCAUACGACCACCUCAAUGGAAUCUCUUAGAAGACCUCUGUAACCUGCCAAGCCAUCUUCUAAUCUAAGACUUCUGUCAAAAUUAAGUUUAAGCCAACCUUCAGGAGAUCUAACCCAAGAGGCACUUCGAGAUUCCUGAAGACUAGAAGCUCCUUAAGAUGAGUGGAGAAAUGUCCUUG
Molecule: long non-coding RNA, 379 nt
Filed under: Amborella trichopoda
Lineage: Eukaryota; Viridiplantae; Streptophyta; Magnoliopsida; Amborellales; Amborellaceae
Description: long non-coding RNA (ATRI_LNC003638)
Source: RNAcentral